AGCUGUCGCCGACCUGCGCGGGGCGGAAAUCCUGCUGGACUGCCUCCUGGUAGGGAAGCCUUUCGGGCGUCAAGAAGCUGGAGAGCUCGGCCACUGGGCAGCUGUCUCCGAAGAGCCUGGGCGGGAGGGGCAGUAAACCAUCCCUGUGGGUAUGCCUACAUGCUGAGUCCUUGAGUCCUCCAAGUGAAUCAUCAAACCCUGGAGACUCUGACACACAUUCCUGAAGGGAAGUUACUACUGACUCCUAAAACUCUUGCCUCCCUGAUGCUUUGGCACGUGCUCCAGGGUCAUCCGAGUUCUCCUCUUCCGUGUCCAAAAGCUCGAUGGUCAGCUGAACCUGGCCUUGGCUCUGAAUGAACAUAAGCUGCAAAUAAGAAACCUGAAUGUAAACAAAAGACCAUCUCCAAAGCUGUAAACAGAUUCUCAAGGGUUGAGAGGU
Lagenorhynchus albirostris (white-beaked dolphin) is the source of this 439-nucleotide long non-coding RNA. RefSeq lists it as uncharacterized. The record is from RefSeq and is a predicted model, not a curated record. The transcript has 3 exons. NCBI's taxonomy places the organism in Eukaryota, Metazoa, Chordata, Mammalia, Artiodactyla, Delphinidae.